RNAcentral lists this non-coding RNA (260 nucleotides) under Bacillus sp. (in: firmicutes). RNAcentral's name for it is "Bacillus sp. T-box sequence". It matches the Rfam family "T-box leader". From Rfam's summary of the family: Uncharged tRNA acts as the effector for transcription antitermination of genes in the T-box leader family. T-boxes are found upstream of many aminoacyl-tRNA synthetase genes and some amino acid biosynthetic genes usually in Gram-positive bacteria. The record is from RNAcentral. Lineage: Bacteria; Bacillati; Bacillota; Bacilli; Caryophanales; Bacillaceae.
UACAUGGCGAUGAGGAAGAAGAGUAGGCAUCACAGGAGACUCAAGAGAGCUGAUGGCUGGUGCGAAUCAGCGUCAACUGGAUGUUGAAUGGGCUUCCGAGCUCCGAACCGAACCCGCCCGGCGGCAGUAGGCUUCGGCGUGAGCGUCCGCACGUUACAACGGACACCGUAUCACCGUACGGAACAAAGCGAUUUCAACCACGGGCACACAGCCGUGGAUUGAAAUAAGAAGGGUGGCACCGCGGUUCAUCCGUCCCUGUU